CGCAAUGGGCGAAAGCCUGACGGAGCAAUACCGCGUGGAGGAUGACAGCCCGUGGGUCGUAAACUCCUUUUCUCAGAAAAGAAAAAAAUGACGGUAUUUGAGGAAUAAGCAUCGGCUAACUCCGUGCCAGCAGCCGCGGUAAUACGGAGGAUGCAAGCGUUAUCCGGAAUGAUUGGGCGUAAAGCGUUUUAAGGCGGUUUGGUAAGUCUACUGUUAAAUAUCAGGGCUUAACCCUGAACAGGCAGUGGAAACUAGCAAGCUUGAGUACGGUAGGGGCAAAGGGAAUUCCCGGUGUAGCGGUGAAAUGCGUAGAUAUCGGGAAGAACACCAAAGGCGAAAGCACUUUGCUGGGCCGAAACUUUCAUUUAUAGACGAAAGCUA
This 381-nucleotide ribosomal RNA is filed under the name uncultured organism. RNAcentral describes it as "bacterial SSU rRNA". It matches the Rfam family "Bacterial small subunit ribosomal RNA", at positions 367 to 762 of the family's 1533-position model. The record is from RNAcentral.